AUUGAACGCUGGCGGCAGGCUUAACACACGCAAGUCGAGCGGGGGAAGGUAGCUUGCUACCGGACCUAGCGGCGGACGGGUGAGUAAUGCUUAGGAAUCUGCCUAUUAGUGGGGGACAACAUCUCGAAAGGGAUGCUAAUACCGCAUACGUCCUACGGGAGAAAGCAGGGGAUCUUUGGACCUUGCGCUAAUAGAUGAGCCUAAGUCGGAUUAGCUAGUUGGUGGGGUAAAGGCCUACCAAGGCGACGAUCUGUAGCGGGUCUGAGAGGAUGAGACGCCACACGGGGACUGAGACACGGCCCAGACUCCUACGGGAGGCAGCAGUGGGGAAUAUUGGACAAUGGGGGGAACCCUGAUCCAGCCAUGCCGCGUGUGUGAAGAAGGCCUUAUGGUUGUAAAGCACUUUAAGCGAGGAGGAGGCUACUUUAGUUAAUACCUAGAGAUAGUGGACGUUACUCGCAGAAUAAGCACCGGCUAACUCUGUGCCAGCAGCCGCCGUAA
This 501-nucleotide ribosomal RNA is filed under the name uncultured bacterium. RNAcentral's name for it is "partial 16S ribosomal RNA". It matches the Rfam family "Bacterial small subunit ribosomal RNA", at positions 30 to 523 of the family's 1533-position model. The record is from RNAcentral.